Non-coding RNA from Ixodes scapularis (black-legged tick), 72 nucleotides. Lineage: Eukaryota; Metazoa; Arthropoda; Arachnida; Ixodida; Ixodidae. The record is from Rfam.
UCCUGCUUGGCUCAGUCGGUGGAGCGCUCCACUGGAAAUGGAGAGGUCCCUGGUUCGUACCAGGACCAGCUG